This 2933-nucleotide ribosomal RNA is filed under the name Bacillus sp. FJAT-18019. RNAcentral's name for it is "bacterial LSU rRNA". It matches the Rfam family "Bacterial large subunit ribosomal RNA". Lineage: Bacteria; Bacillati; Bacillota; Bacilli; Caryophanales; Bacillaceae. The record is from RNAcentral.
UUGGUUAAGCUACUAAGAGCACACGGAGGAUGCCUAGGCGCUAGGAGCCGAUGAAGGACGUGGCGAACAACGAUACUGCCUCGGGGAGCUGUAAGCAAGCUUCGAUCCGGGGAUGUCCGAAUGGGGAAACCCAGCUGAUGUAAUAGUCAGUUACCCGUAUCUGAAUACAUAGGAUGCGCGGAGGCAUACCCAGGGAACUGAAACAUCUAAGUACCUGGAGGAAGAGAAAACAAGAGUGAUUCCGUUAGUAGCGGCGAGCGAAUGCGGAACAGCCUAAACCAGAGAGCUUGCUCUCUGGGGUUGUGGGACGUCUCACAUGGAGUUACAAAGGAAUAUAUUAGGCGAAGAGGUCUGGAAAGGCCCGCUAUAAGAGGUAAAAGCCCUGUAGCCGAAAGUAUAUUCCCUCCGAGACGGAUCCCGAGUAGUGCGGGGCACGUGAAACCCCGUAUGAAUCUGCCAGGACCAUCUGGUAAGGCUAAAUACUCCCUAGCGACCGAUAGUGAAGCAGUACCGUGAGGGAAAGGUGAAAAGCACCCCGGAAGGGGAGUGAAAUAGAACCUGAAACCGUGUGCUUACAAGAAGUCAGAGCCCUAUUUAUGGGUGAUGGCGUGCCUUUUGUAGAAUGAACCGGCGAGUUACGUUCCCAUGCAAGGUUAAGGCGAGAAGCCGUAGCCGCAGCGAAAGCGAGUCUGAAUAGGGCGAUUUAGUAUGUGGACGUAGACCCGAAACCGUGUGAUCUACCCCUGUCCAGGAUGAAGGUGCGGUAACACGCACUGGAGGUCCGAACCCACGUAUGUUGAAAAAUGCGGGGAUGAGGUGGGGGUAGCGGAGAAAUUCCAAUCGAACUCGGAGAUAGCUGGUUCUCCCCGAAAUAGCUUUAGGGCUAGCCUCGGAAUGAAGAGUCGUGGAGGUAGAGCACUGAUUGGGUGCGGGGCCCGCAAGGGUUACCAAGCUCAGUCAAACUCCGAAUGCCAUAGACUUAUAUCCGGGAGUCAGACAGUGAGUGCUAAGAUCCAUUGUCAAGAGGGAAACAGCCCAGACCAUCAGCUAAGGUCCCCAAGUGUGUGUUAAGUGGGAAAGGAUGUGGAGUUGCACAGACAACCAGGAUGUUGGCUUAGAAGCAGCCACCAUUUAAAGAGUGCGUAAUAGCUCACUGGUCGAGUGACUCUGCGCCGAAAAUGUAACGGGGCUAAACACACCACCGAAGCUAUGGCUUGAUGCGUAUGCAUCAGGGGUAGGGGAGCGUUGUAUGUGGGUUGAAGGUGUACCGUAAGGAGCGCUGGACAGCAUACAAGUGAGAAUGCCGGUAUGAGUAACGAAAAGAUCAGUGAGAAUCUGAUCCGCCGAAAGCCCAAGGUUUCCUGAGGAAGGCUCGUCCGCUCAGGGUAAGUCGGGACCUAAGGUGAGGCCGAAAGGCGUAAUCGAAGGACAACAGGUUGAAAUUCCUGUACCACCGUAAACCGUUAUGAACGAUGGGGUGACGCAGGAGGGUAGUGACGCGGACUGAUGGAUGUCCGUCCAAGCAGUGAGGCUGAUGUGUAGGCAAAUCCGCACAUCAUGAAGGCUGGGCUGUGAUGGGGAGUGAAAAUUACAGUAGCGAAGGUCAUGAUCUCACACUGCCAAGAAAAGCCUCUAGUCAGGUGAAGGUGCCCGUACCGCAAACCGACACAGGUAGGCGAGAAGAGAAUUCUAAGGCGCGCGGAAGAACUCUCGUUAAGGAACUCGGCAAAAUGACCCCGUAACUUUGGGAGAAGGGGUGCCCCGGUAGUGUGAAUAGCACGAGGGGGCCGCAGUGAAAAGGCCCAAUCGACUGUUUAGCAAAAACACAGGUCUGUGCGAAGCCGUAAGGCGAAGUAUACGGGCUGACGCCUGCCCGGUGCUGGAAGGUUAAGGGGAGUGGUUAGGGGUUAAACCCGAAGCUAUGAACCGAAGCCCCAGUAAACGGCGGCCGUAACUAUAACGGUCCUAAGGUAGCGAAAUUCCUUGUCAGGUAAAUUCUGACCCGCACGAAUGGCGUAACGAAUUGGGCGCUGUCUCAACGAGAGAUCCGGUGAAAUUUUAAUACCUGUGAAGAUGCAGGUUACCCGCGACAAGACGGAAAGACCCCAUGGAGCUUUACUGCAGCUUGAUAUUGGAUUUGGGUACGAUCUGUACAGGAUAGGUGGGAGCCUUAGAAGCAUGAGCGCCAGCUUGUGUGGAGGCGACGUUGGGAUACCACCCUGAUCGUAUCUAGGUUCUAACCUAGUACCGUGAUCCGGUACGGGGACAGUGUCAGGCGGGCAGUUUGACUGGGGCGGUCGCCUCCUAAAGAGUAACGGAGGCGCCCCAAGGUUCCCUCAGAAUGGUUGGAAAUCAUUCGAAGAGUGCAAAGGCAUAAGGGAGCUUGACUGCGAGACCUACAAGUCGAGCAGGGACGAAAGUCGGGCUUAGUGAUCCGGUGGUACCGCAUGGAAGGGCCAUCGCUCAACGGAUAAAAGCUACCCUGGGGAUAACAGGCUUAUCUCCCCCAAGAGUCCACAUCGACGGGGAGGUUUGGCACCUCGAUGUCGGCUCAUCGCAUCCUGGGGCUGAAGUAGGUCCCAAGGGUUGGGCUGUUCGCCCAUUAAAGCGGUACGCGAGCUGGGUUCAGAACGUCGUGAGACAGUUCGGUCCCUAUCUGUCGUGGGCGUAGGAAAUUUGAGAGGAGCUGUCCUUAGUACGAGAGGACCGGGAUGGACGUACCGCUGGUGCACCAGUUGUUCCGCCAGGAGCAUGGCUGGGUAGCUACGUACGGAAGGGAUAAGCGCUGAAAGCAUCUAAGCGUGAAGCCCACCUCAAGAUGAGAUUUCCCAACUAGUAAGACCCCUUGAAGACGACGAGGUAGAUAGGUUGGAGGUGGAAGUGCAGCAAUGCAUGGAGCUGACCAAUACUAAUCGGUCGAGGGCUUAUCCUAA